Molecule: ribosomal RNA, 460 nt
Filed under: uncultured bacterium
Lineage: Bacteria
Description: partial 16S ribosomal RNA
Rfam family: Bacterial small subunit ribosomal RNA
Source: RNAcentral
CCUACGGGGGGCAGCAGUGAGGAAUAUUGGUCAAUGGGCGGGAGCCUGAACCAGCCAAGCCGCGUGAGGGCAGAAGGUACAGCGUAUCGUAAACCUCUUUUGCCGGGGAGCAAGGGCGGGGACGUGUCCCGGCCCGGAGAGUACCCGGAGAAAAAGCAUCGGCUAACUCCGUGCCAGCAGCCGCGGUAAUACGGAGGAUGCGAGCGUUAUCCGGAUUUAUUGGGUUUAAAGGGUGCGUAUGCGGGCUUUUCAGUCAGCGGUAAAAAUUCGGGGCUCAACCCCGUCCGGCCGUUGAAACUGGGGGCCUUGAGUGGGCGAGAAGAAGGCGGAAUGCGUGGUGUAGCGGUGAAAUGCAUAGAUAUCACGCAGAACCCCGAUUGCGAAGGCAGCCUUCCGGCGCCCUACUGACGCUGAGGCACGAAAGUGCGGGGAUCGAACAGGAUUAGAUACCCGUGUAGUC